GGUGAUCAUAUUUUUAAACAAAUGGGUACAGAGUUUCUAUCAAUGUUUCUUUGGGGUUUGGGGAUGGUGGCCACAUAGAGAUGAUUGCUCAUAUAAAGUCAGUGCUGUUUCCUCAUUUAGACUGCUGGAGGUGUCCCAUGGCUGUCUUUAUAGUGCUGAAGUUUUUGAUAGCUUUGGUGAUUUAGUGACAGCUCUGAACAAGAGAGAAAGCAUCCCACCCAAGCACCUAUUCACAGGUGACCCAUGGAAAGACAAUAAAGAGGUCUACAGUCUGGGAUUCUGCCAAUCAGUCUUCUUCACACACUUCAUCUUCCUUUUGUGA
RNAcentral lists this long non-coding RNA (322 nucleotides) under Cricetulus griseus (Chinese hamster). RNAcentral describes it as "lncRNA (ENSCGRG00000025629.1)". Lineage: Eukaryota; Metazoa; Chordata; Mammalia; Rodentia; Cricetidae. The record is from RNAcentral.